Molecule: non-coding RNA, 278 nt
Filed under: Lacticaseibacillus rhamnosus
Lineage: Bacteria; Bacillati; Bacillota; Bacilli; Lactobacillales; Lactobacillaceae
Source: RNAcentral
GAAAAACCGUUGAUGUGGAGAUCAAGAUCAUUGUGCGCGCACAGAGAGUUGCCGUUGCUGAGAGUGCAAUCGAACGCAGAUGAUUAAAUGGACCACGGAGGGUUCUCCCGAAAGUUCGCGAGUACGGGGAAACGUCAGGCAUACGUCAGUUGUCGGAGGGAUGUUGGUCCCUCGCUAAGCGUGAUCAAUCGGACUCUUUUUAGACAAUUAAGUUAGACUAUUUGUCGAAGACUCGAGCGAUCAAACUAAGGUGGCACCGCGGAAAAUCCGUCCUUAAC